UCAUACAACGAGAGGUUCUCGGGGCUGUCGCUGACCUUUCAACGGGUCGUGCACGCCCUGGGCACUCUCACACAUCCAUCUCACCCCUUUGUGCAUCACCGCGUGGGUCCUCCUUUGCAAGAGGGCUCGCGUUUUCACACAAAACUCGAUACAGUGUAGAAUGUAUUUUCUUUUUGCGGUGAUACGCAAUCAAUA
This 195-nucleotide unclassified non-coding RNA is filed under the name uncultured Russulaceae. RNAcentral describes it as "sequence contains ITS1". Lineage: Eukaryota; Fungi; Basidiomycota; Agaricomycetes; Russulales; Russulaceae. The record is from RNAcentral.